RNAcentral lists this transfer RNA (66 nucleotides) under human gut metagenome. It matches the Rfam family "tRNA". Rfam says of the family: Transfer RNA (tRNA) molecules are approximately 80 nucleotides in length. The record is from RNAcentral.
UACGUAGUUCAGUGGUAGAACACCAGCUUCCCAAGCUGGCUAUGCGGGUUCGAUUCCCGUCGUAUG